AGGACGAACGCUUGCGGCGUGCCUAAUGUAUGCAAGUCGAGCGGGGGCGGUCCCUUCGGGGACUUUCCUAGCGGCGAACGGUUGAGUAACACGUAGGCAACCUGCCCCGAAGUCGGGAAUAACGCAUCGAAAGGUGCGCUAAUACCGGAUGUGGACCUGCUUCGCAUGAAGGAGUGUCUAAAGCAGCAAUGCGCUUCGGGAUGGGCCUGCGGCCUAUCAGCUAGUUGGUGGGGUCACGGCCUACCAAGGCGACGACGGGUAGCUGGUCUGAGAGGAUGGUCAGCCAGACAGGGACUGAGACACGGCCCUGACUCCUUUGGGGGGGCAGCAAUGAGGGAUAUUGCGCAAUGGGGGAAACCCUGACGCAGCGACGCCGCGUGGUGACGAAGUCCUUCGGGAUGUAAGCCCUUUUAGGGGAUGAGAACGGACAGUACCCCGUGAAUAAGCCCCGGCUAACUACGUGCCAGCCAGCCGC
This 475-nucleotide ribosomal RNA is filed under the name uncultured soil bacterium. RNAcentral describes it as "bacterial SSU rRNA". It matches the Rfam family "Bacterial small subunit ribosomal RNA", at positions 26 to 518 of the family's 1533-position model. The record is from RNAcentral.